This 292-nucleotide ribosomal RNA is filed under the name uncultured bacterium. RNAcentral's name for it is "partial 16S ribosomal RNA". It matches the Rfam family "Bacterial small subunit ribosomal RNA", at positions 505 to 796 of the family's 1533-position model. The record is from RNAcentral.
GUGUCAGCAGCCGCGGUAACACGGGGGGAGCAAGCGUUGUUCGGAAUCACUGGGCGUAAAGGGCGUGUAGGCGGUCAGGUAAGUGGGAUGUGAAAUGCCUCGGCUCACCCGAGGCACUGCAUUCCAAACUGCUUGGCUUGAGUAUGGGAGAGGAUGAGGGAAUUCCUGGUGUAGCGGUGAAAUGCGUAGAUAUCAGGAGGAACACCGGUGGCGAAGGCGCUCAUCUGGCCCAAUACUGACGCUGAGGCGCGAAAGCUAGGGGAGCAAACAGGAUUAGAAACCCUAGUAGUCC